This 227-nucleotide long non-coding RNA is filed under the name Nicotiana benthamiana. RNAcentral describes it as "long non-coding RNA (NBEN_LNC033772)". Lineage: Eukaryota; Viridiplantae; Streptophyta; Magnoliopsida; Solanales; Solanaceae. The record is from RNAcentral.
UGGUUUUCCACCCUAUUUGCAAGACAAUGGACAAUAUGGUUCUUGAUUCAAUGGGAAGAAGAAGAACUUGUCUUGCUAAAGAAUGGGAACCAUAACCCCCACUUAUAACUCUAAGAGUUACAUAACCCAAGAGACAAGAGUUUCAAGACAAGAGUUAUGUCUUAAGUUAUGUCUUGCAAGAGUUACAAAACUCAAGAGUCACAAGCAAGUAACCAUAGUUACUUAUG